UAACCUGCUGCUGUCAAGUUGCUUUCUCUCUCAUCAUCAUUCAUCCACAAUAUCUUAUUUUUUUCUUAAGGCUUCACUUGUGGUUUCUAGUAAGGCCCAAUCCACUGCUUUUCAUUCAGCGGUCCUCUCACAAAAUGAAUCCAUUUAAAAAUGUCAUCCGUCCCGUCUUCUCUUGCCCUCCAGUCCACCACAGUUGAUGAAGAGAGACCCAUUCACCGUUAUCCUUUCUCCCCCUCUCUUGGAUUUCAGCGCCCUAACUGAUGGCCUUGAGUGGCUCCAGCCUUUCAGUUGUCACUCUGUGGCUUUGUGGCUAAGGCCCGAGAUCACGCUGGCGGGCAUGCCAGCGCAGGUUUGCACAUUUUCUUCCCUAAAAUAUUAAUUUGACCUGUAACGCUCUUUUUCAUUUAGCGCUCAGCCGACCAUGGUGGUGGUGAUUUCAGUUCGAAACAACCUCCAAGGACUGUGGGAGUAGGUUUCCUUGGCUGUUGAACUGACAUUUUAGGAAAAUAAAAUGGCAUUAAAACACCAUAAAAACCCCUGGUAGACGGCUGUCUCCAGUUACUGAUUAAUGGGAAUGGACAUGGGGUGAGCCAGGGCCUGAAACCAAUUAAGAAGUAAACGCCCAACCAUUUACGCCCCUCGUGCUGCCAGUGUCUGAAAUGACCACAAUAAAUACUGUAGUCGCAGGACCACGAACAUCGCCCUGACUUUCUGUCCUCCUGGGCUGACACUCUAACUGCUGAAUGGAAGCGCAAGUGAUGGUCAUUUGAAAAUUCAGGCACCACAGAGAGAAUUUUCCAUGCUGGGAGCUAACAUCGCCAAGCACCUGCAAACAGCCAAACAGCGUUAGAUACUGUACGAAAUGAUUUCACAGCAGCUCUUCUCAUUUUAGAGAUAAGAAAACUGAGGUUUUUAGCUAGGAAAACCUGGAAGAGAGAUCAAGGAAGCAUAUGCCUGGGCCGUGGGAGGUUUGAUGAUAACAAAUCCUGCCUUCCCUUUGAUGAGAAAAGGAUCAGCAAAGUGCACGUGGAGAAUGAAAGCAACUCUGAGCCUGGGUUCCGGCAGAAUCUGGUCGACAAAGGACACAAAGGGACUUGUGAACCUCUUGUAUAAGUCCAGAUUCUUGGGUGCAAGUGACAGAAAUCAAACUCAAGCUAGCUUAAACUGAAAGAGAAGACGCACAAGUGAUGGUCGUUUGAAAAUUCUUCAAAACCUCGUAGACCAGGGGUUUCUCGAGAAGCGCCUUGAUGAAGUGUGCAUUUGGGCAUCAUUUGUAUGAGUAGCAGGAAGCAUGGGGUAUGGCAGGUUACCAACUGGUCUUUGAGUGAGGAAACCAGAGCGGGUCUGGACCCCAGAGCAGGACCAUUUGCUUUGGUCUCUGGCCAGGCCAACUGAGGGAUCAUAAUCAGGGCUGCAGGCCACUCUGAGGACAGCAGGGCACUGCAGAGAGAAGUCUGGCCUGGUUAGCACAUGAACAGAUGUGAACGAAGGAGAGUGCAGUUCCAGAGGAGUGCCGUGCCGGGGGCUCUCAAGGCUGAUGGAGGAAGCAUCGGGGACGGCCUCUCCUCUCUUGGGAGAGUAAACGUUUUAAACAGUGCCGGUAGGAUGGCUUUCUAUUUAAGAGCAAAAAGUGAUGAAGAUCAUUAGAGAGAUGAAGCCCAUGAAAUUAGCCGGGGUGUGCUGGCCUAUCCCUCAUCACAAACCUUAGCAACGGGAGUCUUAAUGUGUGGAAACUUUUUAUUGCAGUGGGAAAGAAUGUGGGUGUUGUAGUCACACAGACUUGCAAGUUCUUCCCCUUCUAACUGGUUAUUUAAAGCUCAGUUUCUUCCUCUAUAUAAUGGGGAUA
Long non-coding RNA from Equus caballus (horse), 1846 nucleotides. NCBI's taxonomy places the organism in Eukaryota, Metazoa, Chordata, Mammalia, Perissodactyla, Equidae. The record is from Ensembl.